This 86-nucleotide non-coding RNA is filed under the name Azotobacter beijerinckii. The record is from RNAcentral. Lineage: Bacteria; Pseudomonadati; Pseudomonadota; Gammaproteobacteria; Pseudomonadales; Pseudomonadaceae.
UGUUAUGGCGGCUGUGCGUGGGACACCUUCGGGUGUGCCGGGAUGCUCCAACCCGGUCGGCCAACCCGCGCACAGCUGCCACCAUC